RNAcentral lists this ribosomal RNA (354 nucleotides) under uncultured Streptococcus sp. RNAcentral's name for it is "bacterial SSU rRNA". It matches the Rfam family "Bacterial small subunit ribosomal RNA", at positions 1028 to 1382 of the family's 1533-position model. The record is from RNAcentral. Lineage: Bacteria; Bacillati; Bacillota; Bacilli; Lactobacillales; Streptococcaceae.
UCGGUGACAGGUGGGUGCAUGGUUGUCGUCAGCUCGUGUCGUGAGAUGUUGGGUUAAGUCCCGCAACGAGCGCAACCCCUAUUGUUAGUUGCCAUCAUUCAGUUGGGCACUCUAGCGAGACUGCCGGUAAUAAACCGGGGAAGGUGGGGAUGACGUCAAAUCAUCAUGCCCCUUAUGACCUGGGCUACACACGUGCUACAAUGGUUGGUACAACGAGUUGCGAGUCGGUGACGGCCGGGCUAAUCUCUUAAAGCCAAUCUCAGUUCGGAUUGUAGGCUGCAACUCGCCUACAUGAAGUCGGAAUCGCUAGUAAUCGUGGAUCAGCACGCCGCGGUGAAUACGUUCCCGGGCCUU